This 145-nucleotide unclassified non-coding RNA is filed under the name soil metagenome. RNAcentral describes it as "partial internal transcribed spacer 1". The record is from RNAcentral.
UAAUAAGUGUUUUAUGGCACUUUUUAAAUCCAUAUCCACCUUGUGCGCAAUGUCAGUCGAUCUUCUUCAUGGAGAUCGACCAAACAUCAACCUUUAUCUUUUAACUCUUUGUCUUAAAAAUAUUAUGAAUAAACAAUUCAAAAUA